GUGGGGAAUCUUCCACAAUGGACGAAAGUCUGAUGGAGCAACGCCGCGUGAGUGAAGAAGGGUUUCGGCUCGUAAAGCUCUGUUGUCGGGGACGAAUGUGCAGUAUUUGAAUAAAGUGCUGUAAUGACGGUACCUGACGAGGAAGCCACGGCUAACUACGUGCCAGCAGCCGCGGUAAUACGUAGGUGGCAAGCGUUGUCCGGAAUUAUUGGGCGUAAAGGGAGCGCAGGCGGGAAGGUAAGUCGGUCUUAAAAGUGCGGGGCUCAACCCCGUGAUGGGAUCGAAACUAUCUGUCUUGAGUGCAGGAGAGGAAAGUGGAAUUCCUAGUGUAGCGGUGAAAUGCGUAGAUAUUAGGAGGAACACCAGUGGCGAAGGCGACUUUCUGGACUGUAACUGACGCUGAGGCUCGAAAGCGUGGGUAGCAAACAGGAUUAGAUACCCUGGUAGUCC
Molecule: ribosomal RNA, 450 nt
Filed under: uncultured bacterium
Lineage: Bacteria
Description: partial 16S ribosomal RNA
Rfam family: Bacterial small subunit ribosomal RNA
Source: RNAcentral